CCUUGCCCCAUUGACUGGUUACUGAAGAGCCUAUGUAGUGCCGAGGAGGAGCUGAAUUAUAGAGAAGCACACGGGCUGCAUCAUUUAUACGUCUGUCAGGGAUGAACCUUUUCAACUUGUUUAUUUAUAUUGAUGGCAUCUGGAGGCAAGGAAUUGUACAGUCAGCUUUUGAUAGCCUAAAGGGCUUCUUUUAAUUUUAAAAACUCAGAUUGUUUAUUUUAAAAUGCAAGCAGAUUAUAUAUCCGAGAAGAACAUACUCCAGGGCUUGCAUUUUUCUUUUUUACCUUGAAUUACAGGGGUAAAAAAAAAUCACUUCUAAUCCAGGGCAGCAUUAGCUCAGAUGUUCAAAAAGAAUCACUGUUUUGUAUACGGAGUAGCCAUUUAUAUCUGUGCAACUUGGCUUUAAAAUGCUGCUGUUGUUAUUCUCCUGUGUUUCACACCUGCUGGAAGGGGCUGGACAAGAGAGAACUCAACCAGACAUUGCACAUAAUUUCAGUUAAGCCCGGUAGUGGCAGUGCUGUGAAAUCUGAUAUUUGUCCUAAGGUCAGGAGUGUGGAAGGAGCAGGGGUUCUGAUUACAACUGAUCUGCAUCUUCGGAGAUAUUAGCAUCCAGAACUAAACAAAAGAAUAAGCGCUCAUAAGAAAACUGAAGCUAUUUCUCUAAGCUCAUCGGGCACAGAGUCACCUGAUUGAGAUGUUACCCAACUACAUGGGAAGGAAACAGUGGACCAGCAAAAUACCUUCCUCACUUGAUCAUGACCAUACUAGUGCUGCCUGAUUGGAUCCUAGUAUUUUAAAGCAUUAUAGCCCCGAUUUAGUGAGUGCUUAAACUCAUGUAUAACUUUAAUUGUUUGAGUAAUUACACUGAUGCUAAACAUAAGAGGUGAAAUUGGAUUCGUGUCCUGAGAGGUUUGUCUCAUUUAUAUACUGUGAUUUGUUGUAUGCAAACAGAGCUAAAUCUCAACUCAAGGAAAAUCACUGCUCUGCUUGCAUUCCAGCUUCCGUGCAUCAUCAAAUGGAAAGCAAAUAAAAGGUUAAAUUACAACUCUGAAUUUUUCUGA
Molecule: long non-coding RNA, 1061 nt
Filed under: Anas platyrhynchos platyrhynchos (common mallard)
Lineage: Eukaryota; Metazoa; Chordata; Aves; Anseriformes; Anatidae
Description: lncRNA (ENSAPLG00000027553.1)
Source: RNAcentral